Molecule: non-coding RNA, 2001 nt
Organism: Zootoca vivipara (common lizard)
Lineage: Eukaryota; Metazoa; Chordata; Lepidosauria; Squamata; Lacertidae
Source: RefSeq, a predicted model, not a curated record
GUUUCCCCUUUUUUAAUACGUAGUCAAAAAGUAAGCCAUGGCAGGGUUUUUAAUCAUUUGAGAAAUGUAAGACAUACCCCGAAAAUAAGCCAUACUUCCGCGAUGUGCGGAGCAAGACCACUGAGCGCCCCAACCAGCUAGCGGGACCCAGCACGCUGGCUGUAAGAGGAGGAGGAAGCCUGCCGGGUCGGGUCGGUGCCCGGAAGCGGCGGCGGCCCGGAAGCGGCGGCAGCAAUGCCGAUAAAGCGUGCAGCAGUGCCGCACGGAGCACCGAGGGCACAAGCUAGCAGAACCCAGCUCCUGCAAUGCCGGCCGCGGCAGGAGGAAGAAGCCUGCCAGGUCGGGUCAGCGUCCGGAAGCGGCGGCGGCUGCAGCGCUGACAAAGCGCGAAGCAGCGCCGCACGGAGCACCAAGGGCACGAGCGUCAGGAGGAAAGAGAGAGGGGCUCGUUGCUUGCGGAGAGAAAAGUGUGGGCUCGUUGCAGGUUUACCUCACAGCUGAGGGGGCAGCAGGGGCCAAGCACCUUCCCACCCCUCCCCAGAGCCCAGCCCGCAGGCUGCUCCCCUCAGGAAAUGCGGCUCUUCCCGUCCCCGAGGAGAGCCGCCGGCCCUGGAGCGCCUCUCUGCCGCCCAAGUGAGGCUCUCGAAAGGCCGUCUCAGAAGCGGGCAGCUCCCUUACGCCAUCUCCGUAUCCCGCCGGCGGGGUUACUCAACCCGUUCGGCAGGACUGCCCCCGCCCCCGCCUCUUUGCAGAGUUUGUGCAGCUUGUGCGGCUCUGCCUAACUUCUUGCGCGGCAGGCAGGCGGGCGUCCUCCCAUCGGCGCGGCGAGCUUUGCAGAAUCAGGUGCUGCAACUCGGAAGCCGGCCAGGCGAAGCUUAGCUGCCAAUCAAAAGGACAGGGGUGUAUGCAAGACGUUCUCCUUAGUUGCUUGGACCAGUUUGGUGAUGGUGAUGAUUAUGCCCUUUGUUGAGUCGGUAGAAUUGUAGAGUUAGAAGGGACCCUCGGGGGUCAUCUAGUCCAACCCCCUACAAUGCAAAAAUCUCAGCUAGGUCAUACAUGGCAGGUGGCCAUCCAGCCUCUGCUUAAAAGCCUCCAAGGAAGGAGAGCCCUUGACUCAGGAUGGGUAGGAGGGGAAAGGGAGAGAAUGCAUAAGGAUCCCAGGUUUAACCGCCAGGUACCCCCAAGUUUGAAAUCCUGGAGAGCUGCUGCCAGCCUGGUUGACAGCAAUAAUGGUAGAGGACACACGUAGCAUGACAAAAGAAUAUUUUUUUUUUAAAAAAAAUCCCAGUUUCAAUUGCUGCCAUUGCUUGCUGUGUAUUAUGUAUUGUAUUUAAAUAAUCACCUUAUUUUCUUGUUUCAUUUAAUGGAUGUUAUGUACAUCAUGUUGUGCAUUAUGUUACAGGAUUAUGUUGUAAAACCUGGAUAGCUCAGUUGGCUAGAGUGUGGUGCUGAUAAUGCACAUGGAAGAGAGCGCCGAGCAUCCUGAGCCAGUGGGACCCAGUUGUACCGGCACUUUAAAAAAAAGAAAGAAAAAAAGACACCCCCUGAAAAUAAGCCACCGUGUGGUUUUUUGAGGGGAAAAAGUUAUAAGACGGUGUCUUAAAAAAGGGGAAACACGCUAUAGUUCACAAGUGCACUGCACACAAGUUACCACUUAAAGAUUCUUGGGAUCCCACGAAACUGGAUCAGCUACUUUGAAAGUGCCCAGUCUCUAAAUUUGUGUCAUGGACUGGUUGGACGCAGAGGAAUGGUGGGAGGAACCAGCUGGGAAACCACCAAGGGAGAGGUUGGCUGCACACAGGCAAAGUCUCCUCUGCUUGGAAAAAGCCCUGGAGAGGAGGGAACUUAGGCGGCUGUGGGGAGGCAGGGACUUUCAGUUUCGGCAACUGAUUCAUGGGGCCAGACCUCCUACCAGGGAUGAGCUGCUGUGCUCAUUGGGCCUGACAACACUGCAUCAAGUCUGUGGAGAUGGUGAUUUUGCUAAUAAAGUGUUAACUCAAA